AGUGAACGCUGGCGGUAGGCCUAACACAUGCAAGUCGAACGGCAGCACAGUAAGCUCUUGCUCUUACGGGUGGCGAGUGGCGGACGGGUGAGGAAUACAUCGGAAUCUACUUUUUCGUGGGGGAUAACGUAGGGAAACUUACGCUACUACCUCAUACGACCUACGGCUUAAAUCAGGAGUUCUUCAGACCUUGCGCGAUUGAAUGAGCCGAUGUCGGAUUAGCUAGUUGGCAUGGUAAAGGCCCACCAAGGCGACGAUCCGUAGCUGACCUGAGAGGGUGAGCGGCGACACUGGAACUGAGAGACGGUCCAGACUCCUACGGGAGGCAGCAGGAGGGAAUCGUGCGCAAUGGGCGAAAGCCUGACGGAGCAACGCCGAGUGAGUGAUGAAGGUCUUCGGAUCGUAAAAAUCUGUUAUUAGGGAAGAACAAAUGUGGAAGUAACUAUGCACGUCUUGACGGUACCUAAUCAGAAAGCCACGGCUAACUACGGG
RNAcentral lists this ribosomal RNA (492 nucleotides) under uncultured bacterium. Its description in RNAcentral is "partial 16S ribosomal RNA". It matches the Rfam family "Bacterial small subunit ribosomal RNA", at positions 29 to 507 of the family's 1533-position model. The record is from RNAcentral.